AGCGGAAAAGCCGAAAACCGCAAAUAGAGUAGGUA
Molecule: non-coding RNA, 35 nt
Organism: Flavobacterium frigoris
Lineage: Bacteria; Pseudomonadati; Bacteroidota; Flavobacteriia; Flavobacteriales; Flavobacteriaceae
Source: Rfam